GACGAACGCUGGCGGCGUGCUUAACACAUGCAAGUCAAGGCGGUAGCAAUACCGACUGGCGCACGGGUGCGGAACACGUAGGCAAUCUGCCCUUUGGGGGAAGACAACCUGUUGAAAGACGGGCUAAACUUCCGUAACAUCCUUGGUAGGCAUCUACCGAAGAUCAAAUUUUCCAGAGGAUGAGCCUGCGUCUGAUUAGUUAGUUGGCGGGGUAACGGCCCACCAAGGCUACGAUCAGUAGCUGGUCUGAGAGGAUGAUCAGCCACAUUGGGACUGAGAUACGGCCCAGACUCCUACGGGAGGCAGCAGUGAGGAAUAUUGCUCAAUGGACGAAAGUCUGAAGCAGCAACGCCGCGUGAGGGAUGAAGGCGCUUUGCGUUGUAAACCUCUGUAGUUGGAGACAAAUGUUUCCCUACCGGGAAAUUGAUGGUAUCCAAAAAGUAAGGAUCGGCUAACUACGUGC
Molecule: ribosomal RNA, 463 nt
Filed under: uncultured bacterium
Lineage: Bacteria
Description: bacterial SSU rRNA
Rfam family: Bacterial small subunit ribosomal RNA
Source: RNAcentral